CAGCCGCCGCGGUAAUACGUAGGUGGCAAGCGUUGUCCGGAAUUAUUGGGCGUAGAGGGCUCGCAGGCGGUUUCUUAAGUCUGAUGUGAAAGCCCCCGGCUCAACCGGGGAGGGUCAUUGGAAACUGGGAAACUUGAGUGCAGAAGAGGAGAGUGGAAUUCCACGUGUAGCGGUGAAAUGCGUAGAGAUGUGGAGGAACACCAGUGGCGAAGGCGACUCUCUGGUCUGUAACUGACGCUGAGGAGCGAAAGCGUGGGGAGCGAACAGGAUUAGAUACCCCUGUAGUCCCUGUCUCUUAUAC
RNAcentral lists this ribosomal RNA (301 nucleotides) under uncultured bacterium. Its description in RNAcentral is "partial 16S ribosomal RNA". It matches the Rfam family "Bacterial small subunit ribosomal RNA", at positions 509 to 807 of the family's 1533-position model. The record is from RNAcentral.